CUUGAAAGUAACUUGCUACUUUUGCCGGCAAGCGUGGGACCGUUGAUUAAUGCCUGGAGAUCUGCCCGGUCAAGGGGGAUAACGCUUGGAGACCACUGCUAAUACCGCAUACGCCCUACGGGGGAAAGGACGGGACCUUCUGGCCUUUCGCGAUUGGAUGAACCCAGGUGGGAUUAGCUAGUUGGUGGGGUAAUGGCUCACCAAGGCCACAAUCCCUAUGUGGUCUGACAGGAUGAUCUACCACACUGGAACUGAGACACUCUCCAGACUCGUACGGGAGGCAGCAGUGGGGAAUAUUGCACAAUGGGGAAAACCCUGAUGCUGCCAUGCCCCGUGUGUGAAGAAGGCCUUCAGGUUGUAAAGCACUUUCACCGAGGAUGAAAUGUUGGCGCCUAAUACGUGUCAACUGUGGCGUUACUCGCAGAACAAGCACCGGGUAACUCCGUGCCACCAACCGCGGUAAUACGGAGGGAGCAAGCGUUAAUCGGAAUUACUGGGCGUAUGCCGCACGCACGGGGUUGGAUAAGUUAGAUGUGAAAGCCCCGGGCUCAACCUGGGAAUUGCAUUUAAAACUGUCCAGCUAGAGUCUUGUAGAGGGGGGUAGAAUUCCAGGUGUAGCGGUGAAAUAAGUAGAGAUCUGGAGGAAUACCGGUGGCGAAGGCGGCCCCACUGGACAAAGACAGACGCUCAGGUGCGAAAGCGUGGGGAGCAAACAGGAUUAGAUACCCUGGUACUCCACGCCGUAAAAGAUGUCCAUUUGAAGGCUGUGUCCUUGAGUACGUGGCUUCCGGAGCUAACGCGUUAAAUCGACCGCCUGGGGAGUACGGCCGCAAGGUUAAAACUCAAAUGAAUUGACGGGGGCCCGCACAAGCGGUGGAGCAUGUGGUUUAAUUCGAUGCAACGCGAAGAACCUUACGUGGCCUUGACAUGUCUGGGAUCCCGUAGAGAUACGGGAGUGCCUUCGGGAAUCAGAACACAGGUGUUGCAUGGCUGUGGUCAGCUUGUGUCGUGAGAUUUUGGGUUAAGUCCCGCAACGAGCGCAACCCCUUUCCUUUGUUGCCAGCACGUAAUGGUGGGAACUCAAGCGAGACUGCCGGUGAUAAACCGGAGGAAGGUGGGGAUGACGUCAAGUCAUCAUGGCCGUUACGGCCAGGUCUACACCCGUGCUACAAUGGCGCGUACAGAGGGCCGCAAGCUAGCGAUAGUGAGUGAAUCCCAAAAAGCGCGUCGUAGUCCGGAUCGGAGUCUGCAACUCGACUCCGUGAAGUCGGAAUCGGUAGUCCUUGUACACACCGCCCGUCACACCAUGGGAGUGGGUUGCACCAGAAGUAGAUAGCUUAACCUUCGGGAGGGCG
This 1355-nucleotide ribosomal RNA is filed under the name Aeromonas bestiarum. RNAcentral describes it as "bacterial SSU rRNA". It matches the Rfam family "Bacterial small subunit ribosomal RNA". The record is from RNAcentral. Lineage: Bacteria; Pseudomonadati; Pseudomonadota; Gammaproteobacteria; Aeromonadales; Aeromonadaceae.